This 452-nucleotide ribosomal RNA is filed under the name uncultured bacterium. RNAcentral's name for it is "partial 16S ribosomal RNA". It matches the Rfam family "Bacterial small subunit ribosomal RNA", at positions 29 to 523 of the family's 1533-position model. The record is from RNAcentral.
AGCGAACGCUGGCGGCAUGCUUAACACAUGCAAGUCGCACGAAGGUUUCGGCCUUAGUGGCGGACGGGUGAGUAACGCGUAGGAAUCUAUCCAUGGGUGGGGGAUAACCCGGGGAAACUGGUGCUAAUAUCGCAUGAUACGUGAGGGUCAAAGGCGCAAGUCGCCUGUGGAGGAGCCUGCGUUCGAUUAGCUAGUUGGUGGGGUAAAGGCCUACCAAGGCGAUGAACGAUAGCUGGUGUGAGAGGAUGAUCAGCCACACUGGGAGGUGGGACGCGGCCCAGACUCCUACGGGAGGCAGCAGUGGGGAAUAUUGGACAAUGGGGGCAACCCUGAUCCAGCAAUGCCGCGUGUGUGAAGAAGGUCUUCGGAUUGUAAAGCACUUUCGACGGGGACGAUGAUGACGGUACCCGUAGAAGAAGCCCCGGCUAACUUCGUGCCAGCCGCCGCAGUAA